Molecule: ribosomal RNA, 253 nt
Filed under: uncultured bacterium
Lineage: Bacteria
Description: partial 16S ribosomal RNA
Rfam family: Bacterial small subunit ribosomal RNA
Source: RNAcentral
UACGUAGGGUGCGAGCGUUGUCCGGAAUUACUGGGCGUAAAGAGCUCGUAGGUGGUUUGUCGCGUUGUUCGUGAAAACCGGGGGCUUAACCCUCGGCGUGCGGGCGAUACGGGCAGACUGGAGUACUGCAGGGGAGACUGGAAUUCCUGGUGUAGCGGUGGAAUGCGCAGAUAUCAGGAGGAACACCGGUGGCGAAGGCGGGUCUCUGGGCCGAUACUGACGCUGAGGAGCGAAAGCGUGGGGAGCGAACAGG